Molecule: long non-coding RNA, 6744 nt
Filed under: Brassica rapa (field mustard)
Lineage: Eukaryota; Viridiplantae; Streptophyta; Magnoliopsida; Brassicales; Brassicaceae
Description: long non-coding RNA (BRAP_LNC007566)
Source: RNAcentral
CCUUAGAUCGGAACACUCAGCCGGUACGGUAUUUGAUAGGAUCUCUGGAUGGAGAAGUGAUGGAUCGAGGGAUCUCACGAAGGAUGCGGAAGGCCUUCGAUAUUUCCAAGUCUGAACAACGCCUGAUGUGACUCACAGGUCCGUUGUGGAGACUGACUUGACUAGAUCGCCGGAUGUGACUCACCGGUCCGAUUAGACAAGGUGUUUGCUCGGAUGCUAACCACACCAAAGUAAACUAAGAACAAGUUCUUUGCAAUGAACAAAGAGAGAAAACUUAAGAAGUUUUGAAGGGAAAAAUCGAUAUCUUUAUUCAGAAAUGAUGGAGUACUUAUACAAGUUUUAGUCAAAAUGAAAUAAAUCAUUUUGUGUGAAAAUAAGACAUAGAAAAUAUAACAAAGACCAGAUCUGGUCAAUACACAGAAAAUUAUGUUGACUGGCCAAAGUGAACCCUUUGCCUACUCUUGUCCAGAUUCGAUGAAUCUGGAUGCAUGUCCCGCGGUAAGGAGCAGUACAUGGUCCGGACGGUCUGCAUGAUCGGAUGAAGGAAACUCAUGAACUGAUGUGUUCCAAAUGUGUCCAAUAUCUUCAGAGAGCUUAAGUAUCCUUCCCCUUGAGAAGCUCAGAUGAUCAAACUGAAGAAUCGGAUCAAACUGGUAAGUCGGAUUUUCAGAACGUUCGGCGGUACGUUCGGCAGUGCCCGCGGUAAGAGCCAGUCGGGUCAGAAAUGAGAAGCUGCGGUCUGAUUCGAAAUCGGUGCGUUCGGAUGAGAGUUUGGCUUGAUCGAUCUUCCUAACUUGACGAGUUGGUCGGGGUAGCCGAGCUUCAGUACGGUCAGAUCGAUCGUCUGGACGUGGAUCCAAACGAAGCUCCAUUCCGGACGUACGCGGGUCGAUCCGGUACACGGCCCGGUCAGUGCGUUCGGUACGGUCGUCCGGAUGAACCUCUGUUGAAUAUCUCGUACUGUUCUGAUCUUCAUGUUGGACUUGUCCAACGGACUGCUCCAUGAUCUGAGGUGCAUCAUUCCCUCCUCCUUUAAGAGGAUUUGUCCACAAAUCCGGAACAUCUACAAGAAAAGGAGAUAAAUCAGAAACGUUGAAGCUUGAAGAGAUAUCAUAAUUACCUUUCAGAUCCAAUUGAUACGCAUUGUCACUGAUUUUUCUGAUGAUCUGAAAUGGUCCGUCCACACGGGGCAUGAGCUUAGAUUUUCUUUCUUCCGGAAAACGUUCCUUCCUCAAGUGAACCCAAACCAAAUCUCCUUCUUCAAAAACGACCUCCUUACGUUUCUUGUUGGCUUGUCGAGUGUACCUUUCUGUUCUGGCCAUGAUGUUAGCUCGGACCCGUUCAUGCAUCUUCUUUAUUGUGUCCGCCUUCUUCUUGCCAUCUGUGCUAACACGUUCACUCAAAGGAAGAGGUAAAAGAUCAAGUGGAGAAAGAGGAUUAAACCCAUACACAACCUCAAAAGGUGAAAACUGAGUAGCUGAAUGCAUAGAAUGGUUAUAAGCAAAUUCCACAUGCGGCAAACAUUCUUCCCAAGUUUUCAAGUUUUUCUUUAUCAAAGACCUAAGCAAGGCAGAUAGUGAACGGUUCACAACCUCAGUUUGUCCAUCAGUUUGAGGAUGACAAGUAGUAGAGAACAUCAAUUUAGUGCCUAAUUUAGACCACAAAGUUUUCCAAAAGUAGCUAAGGAACUUAGCAUCUCUAUCUGAAACGAUAGUCUUAGGCAUUCCAUGCAACCUAACCACUUCUCUAAAGAACAGUUCAGCAAUGUGAGUAGCAUCAUCAGUCUUAUGGCAUGCAAUGAAAUGAGACAUCUUUGAAAAUCUAUCAACCACAACAAAGAUGGAAUCCUUACCUGACUUGGAUCGCGGCAAUCCAAGUACAAAGUCCAUAGAAAUGUCUACCCAUGGAUGAGAAGGGAUGGGUAGAGCUGUAUACAAACCUUGGUUCAAGACUUUGGAUUUAGACUUUUUGCACACAACACAUCGACUGCAAAUCCUCUCAACAUCUUUCAUGAGACCCGGCCAAUAGAAAUGAUCGAACACAACCUUGUAGGUUUUCUUCACACCAAAGUGUCCCAUCAAGCCACCUCCGUGUGCUUCCCUGACAAACAACUCCCUCAAAGAACAUUGGGGAACACACAAGCGGUUAUCAUAAAACAAGAAACCAGCAACCUGAUAAUACUUCCCAUAAGCAGUUUUGGAACUCUUUUUGAAAACCUCUUUGAAAUCCGGAUCAGAUGCAUAAAUCUCUUUGAUAAAUUCAAAUCCAAGAAGUUUGGUCUCAAGAGCUGAAAGGAGAACAUACCUGCGUGACAAGGCAUCGGCCACAACAUUUUCCUUACCUUGUUUAUACUUGAUCACGUAUGGAAAUGUCUCAAUGAAUUCAACCCAACGAGCAUGGCGCUUGUUAAGCUUCUGUUGUCCCUUCAAAUGUUUCAGGGACUGAUGGUCGGUAUGAAUGACGAAUUCCUUGGGCCAAAGGUAGUGCUGCCAAGUUUGAAGUGCUCUCACCAAAGCAUAAAGCUCCUGGUCGUAGGUUGGGUAAUUCAAGGUAGCUCCUCCAAGUUUUUCACUAAAGUAUGCGAUGGGUUUCCUAUCCUGCAUAAGAACAGCACCAAUACCCACUCCGGAAGCAUCACACUCAAUCUCAAAAGUUUUAGAAAAAUCGGGUAAAGCAAGAAGAGGGGCUUGAGUUAACUUCUCUUUUAGGAUUUGGAAAGCUUCCUGCUGAGGUUGUUCCCACUUGAAACCCACAUUCUUCUUGAUAACCUCAGUGAGAGGAGCGGCUAUAGAACUGAAGUCUUGGACGAACCGUCGAUAGAAACCAGCAAGGCCAUGGAAGCUUCGAACCUCACUUACGGACUUAGGAAUGGGCCAGUCGCGGAUGGCUUUGACCUUUUCUUCAUCAACCUUCAGGCCAUCUUUUCCUACAACAAAACCUAGGAAAACAACUUGAUCUGUACCAAAAGAACACUUUCCAAGGUUAGCAAACAAACGUUCGUCCCUAAGGACUUCAAGAACGGCUCUCAAAUGCCUUUGAUGUUCCUCAUGGUUUUUGCUAUAAACAAGAAUAUCAUCAAAAUACACAACAACGAAAUGACCAAUAAAGGAUCUCAACACAUGGUUCAUCAGACGCAUGAAAGUACUAGGUGCAUUAGUCAAACCAAAAGGCAUAACUAACCAUUCAUACAAUCCUAGUUUUGUUUUAAAGGCCGUUUUCCAUUCAUCUCCCUCUUUCAUUCUAAUCUGGUGGUAUCCACUUUUCAAGUCUAUCUUAGAAAAGACACAAGCACCAUGAAGUUCAUCAAGCAUGUCAUCAAGACGAGGGAUGGGAUGGCGAUACUUUACCGUGAUGUUGUUUAUGGCCCGACAGUCCACACACAUCCUCCACGACCCAUCUUUCUUUGGCACGAGUAGGACAGGUACAGCACAUGGGCUGAGGCUUUCUCGGAUGUAUCCUUUGUCAAGAAGAUCAUCAAUCUGCUUUUGGAGUUCCUUGGUCUCGACGGGGUUAGUGCGGUACGCUGGUCGGUUUGGCAAGGACGCGCCUGGAACGAGAUCGAUCUGAUGUUCAAUGCCACGGAUUGGAGGCAAUCCUUUUGGAUUUUCUUCAGGAAAUACAUCAGAAAACUCCUGCAAUAAUCCUUUCAAAUCACUCGGAAUGUCCGGUGCAAGGUGAGAAGAAGAUGAGGCCAUAAGAGAUUCCUUAUAAACAAGCAAAAGGAAUGGCUUUUUGGUGGCAAGGGUUUUUCUUACCUGACCUUGUUUGAUGUAGAAGUUGGAAUUUCUUGCUGAUGCCUCAGGUUUGGAGUCUUGUUCUCGUCCCUUCUUAAGUUGGAUUUGAUCUUGGUGAACUUCUAAGGGAGAAAGGGGAACCAAGGUGAUUUUCUUUCCAUUGUGUUCAAAGGAGUGGCGGUUUGUGUAGCCAUCAUGGACAGCCUUCUUGUCGAACUGCCAAGGUCGACCCAAAAGAAUGUGACAAGCGUCCAUGGGAAGGACGUUACACACGACCUCAUCCUCGUACCGUCCGAUAGUGAUCGGAACAGUCACCUGUUCCUUGACGUAUUGCUCUCCGUCCUCAUUCAACCAUUCCAACCUGAAAGGUUUGGCAAGUGGACGUGUAACAAGUCCAAGUUUCUUCACCAAGGUAUCACUAGCCACGUUGGUACAGCUGCCACCAUCUAUAAUCAAAGAGCAAACUUUAGAAGAAACAAAACAUCUAGAGUGAAAGAGAUUCUCCCUUUGUUCCUUCUCGUCGGUUUUAGGCUGAACACUUAAGGAUCGUCUAGUGACAAGAAGAGGACCAGUAGCUGGAAAGCUGAGAUUGUCCUCGUCGUAGACCGGUCCUGUUUCUUUAACAAACGAGGAACAGAACUCAUCAAUUACUUCCUCAAUUUCGUCCUCUAAGAUCGGUUCCUCCAAGAGCUUUCUUGUAACAAGAAGUGGUCCACUGGCUGGGUAAUCAAAGGGCUCUUCUUCCUCAUCAAAAAUGGGACCAAGGUCCUCUUUUUCCUCUUUGUCCUCCUCGGAUUCUACAUCACCAUUUUCCAAAAGAACCAUCACCCGCUGGUUUGGACAUUUGUUGGCAUAGUGUCCGAGGCCCUGACACUUGAAACACCUUAUGUCUCUUGUUCUGCUGGGGUUUUCCACUGCUUUUCCUUUAUCCACACGAGUAGGAACAUCAGUUUUCAAAGCAGUAUUUGUUGUGGCAGGAUACUUACCUUUGUCUUGGUAGCUAGGCUUAGAUGGAAAAGGUGAUUUUGAAGGGAAGGUGGAUUUGGAGAGUCCUUUCCUUUUGACUUGCUGCUCAAUCAGGAUAGCCUUGUGUAGCAUCUGUUCCAUGUCACUAUAAUCCUGAAGUUCCAUGCGGUCUUGGAUGUCCCGGUUGAGUCCAGUGAGGAAUCUAGCCAUGGUUGCGUCUACAGGUUCAUCCACAUCAGCCUUAAGCAUCAAAGUCUCCAUUUCCUGAUGGUAGUCCUCAACCGACUUUGUUCCCUGAAGUAGCCUCCUGAGUUUGUGGUGUAGGUCGCGUUGGUAAUGGUCCGGUACGAAGCGUUUCCGCAUAAGCGUAAUAAGCCCCAACCAAGUCUCCACUGGUGCUUCACCUGUUCUCCUCCUGUGAGUCACAACUCGGUCAUACCAGUUAAUAGCAUAGCCAGAAAAUUCAGAAGCUGCUAACCUAACCUUCCUAAUAUCAGACAAGUUUUGACAAUCAAAAACCAGUUCAAUUUUCCUUUCCCAUUCUAAAAAGACAUCAGGAUCAUUCUUUCCUUCAAAGCUUGGAAUUUUCAAUUUCAAAGCACCCAACCCAUUUUCAUUUCGUUCAGCUCUAGCAAAAGGAUUGACUUCACCUGGGUUUCGGUUUCUAUGUCCUCUCCUGGGUCGGUUGAUGGAUUGAUCAUCGUUGGUAUCUUCGUCAAAGAUUUCUAGAUCGGAUUGGCUGUUCCGUCUAGGUUGAGCUCGUCUGGUUCCGGUUCUAGAUCUGGUUUGUUGGCUCUCCUGAAUCUCAUCUAACCUUUGAUGGAUCUGCUCAAGUCCUGCAUUCAUAAGGUUAGUAAAAGUAUCGUUUAAAGCCCUCAUUUGGAGGUUUGAGAGUCCGGCUACAGAAUUUCCGGGACGGUUCCGUUCUUCCUCACUGCUCAUGGUUCUUCCUGAAAUUCUCAACAAUAAACGUUAGGGUAACAAAUACCUCACACUCUCAAGUGUUUGUUUCCUCUCCCACUCACGUGUUUCUCUCAAAGAUUUGAAGUGGUUCACACAAGAUUUUGGUUUGUUCUCAAAGUUCAGAGAAAGACAAGUCCGAAGAUACUCAGUGGGUCAGAUCCAAUCAAACAAGGGUCACAAGAGAAGGUAGAUAAGAGAUUACAAGGGGAACCCGCCUUAACCAACUCAAAGGCCGGAUUACUCUUCAGCCAGCAGGCUUUCUCUUCCACCACCACCACAAUCUUUCUUAUUUUUUUUUUUUUUAUAUACUGUUUCUUUUCUUUUUUUUUUUUUUUAUAUGGUGGUAAUGAGUGGCCCGGGUUCAAGAUAGAUAGAAGAAGAACUUUUUAAAUGAAGAAGAUGGUAGAUGAGAAGAUGGAAUGAGAAGAUGAUACCGGUUGAGUGGCUCUGAUACCACUUUGAUAGACCCUUAGAUCGGAACACUCAGCCGGUACGGUAUUUGAUAGGAUCUCUGGAUGGAGAAGUGAUGGAUCGAGGGAUCUCACGAAGGAUGCGGAAGGCCUUCGAUAUUUCCAAGUCUGAACAACGCCUGAUGUGACUCACAGGUCCGUUGUGGAGACUGACUUGACUAGAUCGCCGGAUGUGACUCACCGGUCCGAUUAGACAAGGUGUUUGCUCGGAUGCUAACCACACCAAAGUAAACUAAGAACAAGUUCUUUGCAAUGAACAAAGAGAGAAAACUUGAGAAGUUUUGAAGGGAAAAAUCGAUCAUCUUUAUUCAGAAAUGAUGGAGUACUUAUACAAGUUUUAGCCAAAAUGAAAUAAAUCAUUUUGUGUGAAAAUAAGACAUAGAAAAUAUAACAAAGACCAGAUCUGGUCAAUACACAGAAAAUUAUGUUGACUGGCCAAAGUGAACCCUUUGCCUACUCUUGUCCAGAUUCGAUGAAUCUGGAUGCAUGUCCCGCGGUAAGGAGCAGUACAUGGUCCGGACGGUCUGCAUGAUCGGAUGAAGGAAACUCAUGAACUGAUGUGUUCCAAAUGUGUCCAAUAUCUUCAGAGAGCUUAAGUAUCCUUCCCCUUG